RNAcentral lists this long non-coding RNA (400 nucleotides) under Musa acuminata (dwarf banana). RNAcentral's name for it is "long non-coding RNA (MACU_LNC011145)". Lineage: Eukaryota; Viridiplantae; Streptophyta; Magnoliopsida; Zingiberales; Musaceae. The record is from RNAcentral.
AAUAGAUUAAUCUUUUCUGCAGCCUUUGAGCAGCAACUUGGAGGGAGGAACCCCUAUAGAGUUCCAAGGAGGCCGAUCCCCUAAAGAGAUCAACCCCAAGUUUAGAAUCUGUAAGGGUUCUAACACCUGGUAUCAGAGCAGCGUUCUUGGCAUCUCGCUGCCCUUCCACUGCCAUCCAUCAGCCCUCCACAACCGCCCAAAGCAAUUCCCACAAUUGGUUAAGAGAUCGUCGCCGAAUUCCACCAUCAUCUCCACCACCGCGGAUCAUCCUUUGAUCUCCCCGUGAAUUGCAACAGGUUCUGGUUUCCUACCUUACUGCUGCUGCAAUUUAGUUAUCCUUAUUCGAAAAUCCAAAAAAAAAAACUGUUCCUAUAUUGCUGCAUAAAUCUUUCGUCACAAA